This 492-nucleotide ribosomal RNA is filed under the name uncultured bacterium. RNAcentral's name for it is "partial 16S ribosomal RNA". It matches the Rfam family "Bacterial small subunit ribosomal RNA", at positions 29 to 507 of the family's 1533-position model. The record is from RNAcentral.
AGUGAACGCUGGCGGUAGGCCUAACACAUGCAAGUCGAACGGCAGCACAGUAAGAGCUUGCUCUUACGGGUGGCGAGUGGCGGACGGGUGAGGAAUAUAUCGGAAUCUACUUUUUCGUGGGGGAUAACGUAGGGACACUUACGCUAAUACCGCAUACGACGUACGGGUGAAAGCAGGGGAUCUUCGGCCCUUGCGCGAUUGUAUGAGCCGAUGUCGGAUUAGCUAGUUGGCGGGGUAAAGGCCCACCAAGGCGACGAUCCGUAGCUGGUCUGAGAGGAUGAUCAGCCACACUGGAACUGAGACACGGUCCAGACUCCUACGGGAGGCAGCAGUGGGGAAUAUUGGACAAUGGGCGCAAGCCUGAUCCAGCCAUACCGCGUGGGUGAAGAAGGCCUUCGGGUUGUAAAGCCCUUUUGUUGGGAAAGAAAAGCAGCAGGUUAAUACCCCGCUGUUCUGACGGUACCCAAAGAAUAAGCACCGGCUAACUUCGUG